RNAcentral lists this ribosomal RNA (377 nucleotides) under uncultured eukaryote. RNAcentral describes it as "partial 18S ribosomal RNA". It matches the Rfam family "Eukaryotic small subunit ribosomal RNA", at positions 592 to 976 of the family's 1831-position model. The record is from RNAcentral.
CAAUAGCGUAUAUUAAAGUUGUUGCAGUUAAAAAGCUCGUAGUUGGAUUUCGGGAUGAGAAGCACGGUCGGCCGAGAGGCUUGUACCAGGCGUCUUGUUCUUCCUUCUGUAGCCGGCGUGUGGCAUUGAUUUGUUGCGCGUUUGAUGCAGGACGUUUACUUUGAAUAAAUUAGAGUGUUUAAAGCAGGCCUUUGCUUGAAUACAUUAGCAUGGAAUAAUAGAAUAGGACUUUGGUCUUAUUUUGUUGGUUUCUAGGACCGAAGUAAUGAUUAAUAGGGACAGUUGGGGGCAUUAAUAUUUAAUUGUCAGAGGUGAAAUUCUUGGAUUUAUGAAAGAUUAACUUCUGCGAAAGCAUUUGCCAAGGAUGUUUUCAUUAA